AACGAACGCUGGCGGCAUGCCUAACACAUGCAAGUCGAACGAGACCUCCGGGUCUAGUGGCGCAUGGGUGCGUAACGCGUGGGAACCUGCCCUUAGGUUCGGAAUAACUCCCCGAAAGGGGUGCUAAUACCGGAUAAUGUCUUCGGACCAAAGAUUUAUCGCCUUUGGAUGGGCCCGCGUUGGAUUAGCUAGUUGGUAGGGUAAAAGCCUACCAAGGCGACGAUCCAUAGAUGGUCUGAGAGGAUGAUCAGCCACACUGGGACUGAGACACGGCCCAGACUCCUACGGGAGGCAGCAAUGGGGAAUAUUGGACAAUGGGCGAAAGCCUGAUCCAGCGAUGCCGCGUGAGUGAUGAAGGCCUUAGGGUUGUAAAGCUCUUUUACCCGUGAUGAUAAUGACAGUACCGGGAGAAUAAGCUCCGGCUAACUCCGUG
Molecule: ribosomal RNA, 433 nt
Filed under: uncultured bacterium
Lineage: Bacteria
Description: partial 16S ribosomal RNA
Rfam family: Bacterial small subunit ribosomal RNA
Source: RNAcentral